RNAcentral lists this ribosomal RNA (253 nucleotides) under uncultured bacterium. RNAcentral's name for it is "partial 16S ribosomal RNA". It matches the Rfam family "Bacterial small subunit ribosomal RNA", at positions 524 to 776 of the family's 1533-position model. The record is from RNAcentral.
UACGAAGGGGGCUAGCGUUGUUCGGAUUUACUGGGCGUAAAGCGCACGUAGGCGGAUCGUUAAGUCAGGGGUGAAAUCCUGGGGCUCAACCCCAGAACUGCCUUUGAUACUGGCGAUCUCGAGUCCGGAAGAGGUGAGUGGAACUCCUAGUGUAGAGGUGGAAUUCGUAGAUAUUAGGAAGAACACCAGUGGCGAAGGCGGCUCACUGGUCCGGUACUGACGCUGAGGAGCGAAAGCGUGGGUAGCAAACAGG